AAUGACAUGGUCUAAAAGAAAAGGUUUAAAAUCUUUGAAUGUUUCAGUCCUAUAAAAAGCAUUUCUAUCAGGCAAUAUUCACUUUAAGAAAAUCUAUGGCUUUUAAUUCUUAAAAAAAUACAUUUUUUUCUCUAACAGAGUCACAGAAUCGCAAGGUUGGAAAUGACCUACAACGCAUACAUACAGCCCCUUUUCAGCUUUUUCGGAGUGAUGCCAUGUUAAUCUAGUGAAGUGAAGUCCUGAUCCUUACCGACAGAGAGAAUGCUGGAAUUCAUUCUCCUUCAAAAACAAAGAAAGAACAACAAGGGAAUGGGAAGGAUUUUCAUUCAUGACUGACUGAGAGACUGGGAAAGCUGCAAUUAUCUGCAGUGACUGCACUAGAAGGACACCUGAGAGUGAGUUCU
Long non-coding RNA from Tympanuchus pallidicinctus (lesser prairie-chicken), 404 nucleotides. RefSeq lists it as uncharacterized. The record is from RefSeq and is a predicted model, not a curated record. NCBI's taxonomy places the organism in Eukaryota, Metazoa, Chordata, Aves, Galliformes, Phasianidae. The transcript has 3 exons.